This 446-nucleotide ribosomal RNA is filed under the name uncultured Streptococcus sp. RNAcentral's name for it is "bacterial SSU rRNA". It matches the Rfam family "Bacterial small subunit ribosomal RNA", at positions 936 to 1382 of the family's 1533-position model. Lineage: Bacteria; Bacillati; Bacillota; Bacilli; Lactobacillales; Streptococcaceae. The record is from RNAcentral.
AGCAUGUGGUUUAAUUCGAAGCAACGCGAAGAACCUUACCAGGUCUUGACAUCCCGAUGCUAUUUCUAGAGAUAGAAAGUUACUUCGGUACAUCGGUGACAGGUGGUGCAUGGUUGUCGUCAGCUCGUGUCGUGAGAUGUUGGUUAAGUCCCGCAACGAGCGCAACCCCUAUUGUUAGUUGCCAUCAUUCAGUUGGGCACUCUAGCGAGACUGCCGGUAAUAAACCGGAGGAAGGUGGGGAUGACGUCAAAUCAUCAUGCCCCUUAUGACCUGGGCUACACACGUGCUACAAUGGUUGGUACAACGAGUUGCGAGUCGGUGACGGCGAGCUAAUCUCUUAAAGCCAAUCUCAGUUCGGAUUGUAGGCUGCAAUUCGCCUGCAUGAAGUCGGAGUCGCUAGUAAUCGCAGGUCAGCAUACUCGCGGUCGAAUACGUUCCCGGGCCUU